Molecule: ribosomal RNA, 673 nt
Filed under: Clostridium sp. PCP06
Lineage: Bacteria; Bacillati; Bacillota; Clostridia; Eubacteriales; Clostridiaceae
Description: bacterial SSU rRNA
Rfam family: Bacterial small subunit ribosomal RNA
Source: RNAcentral
GCCUACCCAUGCAAGUCGAGCGAUCUCUUCGGAGAGAGCGGCGGACGGGUGAGUAACGCGUGGGUAACCUGCCCUGUACACACGGAUAACAUACCGAAAGGUAUACUAAUACGGGAUAACAUACGAAAGUCGCAUGGCUUUUGUAUCAAAGCUCCGGCGGUACAGGAUGGACCCGCGUCUGAUUAGCUAGUUGGUAAGGUAAUGGCUUACCAAGGCAACGAUCAGUAGCCGACCUGAGAGGGUGAUCGGCCACACUGGAACUGAGACACGGUCCAGACUCCUACGGGAGGCAGCAGUGGGGAAUAUUGCACAAUGGGCGAAAGCCUGAUGCAGCAACGCCGCGUGAGCGAUGAAGGCCUUCGGGUCGUAAAGCUCUGUCCUCAAGGAAGAUAAUGACGGUACUUGAGGAGGAAGCCCCGGCUAACUACGUGCCAGCAGCCGCGGUAAUACGUAGGGGGCUAGCGUUAUCCGGAAUUACUGGGCGUAAAGGGUGCGUAGGUGGUUUUUUAAGUCAGAAGUGAAAGGCUACGGCUCAACCGUAGUAAGCUUUUGAAACUAGAGAACUUGAGUGCAGGAGAGGAGAGUAAAAUUCCUAGUGUAGCGGUGAAAUGCGUAUAUAUUAGGAGGAAUACCAUUAACGAAGGCGGCUUCUCUGGACUGUAACUGAUACUGU